AACGCGAAGAACCUUACCCAGGUUUGACAUGGGGAGGGCGGCCCGUGAAAGCGGGCUUCCCCUCGGGGCCUCCCCACAGAUGCUGCAUGGCUGUCGUCAGCUCGUGCCGUGAGGUGUUCGGUUAAGUCCGGCAACGAGCGCAACCCGUGCCGCCAGUUACCAUCGGUUGAAGCCGGGGACUCUGGCGGGACCGCCCGUGUCAAGCGGGAGGAAGGCGCGGAUGACGUCAAGUCCGUAUGGCUCCUACGCCUGGGGCUGCAAACGUGCUACAAUGGCCGGUACAAUGGGAUGCGAGGCGGCGACGCCGGGCGGAUCCCCAAAGCCGGCCCCAGUUCGGACUGCAGUCUGCAACCCGACUCCAUGAAGCUGGAUUCGCUAGUAAUCGCGCAUCAGCCAUGGCGCGGUGAAUACGUUCCCGGGUCUUGUACACACGC
RNAcentral lists this ribosomal RNA (434 nucleotides) under uncultured Oligosphaera sp. RNAcentral describes it as "bacterial SSU rRNA". It matches the Rfam family "Bacterial small subunit ribosomal RNA", at positions 958 to 1393 of the family's 1533-position model. Lineage: Bacteria; Pseudomonadati; Lentisphaerota; Oligosphaeria; Oligosphaerales; Oligosphaeraceae. The record is from RNAcentral.